This 158-nucleotide ribosomal RNA is filed under the name Columnea nicaraguensis. Its description in RNAcentral is "5.8S ribosomal RNA". It matches the Rfam family "5.8S ribosomal RNA". From Rfam's summary of the family: 5.8S ribosomal RNA (5.8S rRNA) is a component of the large subunit of the eukaryotic ribosome. It is transcribed by RNA polymerase I as part of the 45S precursor that also contains 18S and 28S rRNA. Lineage: Eukaryota; Viridiplantae; Streptophyta; Magnoliopsida; Lamiales; Gesneriaceae. The record is from RNAcentral.
AAAUGACUCUCGGCAACGGAUAUCUCGGCUCUCGCAUCGAUGAAGAACGUAGCGAAAUGCGAUACUUGGUGUGAAUUGCAGAAUCCCGUGAACCAUNGAGUCUUUGAACGCAANUUGCNCCCGAAGCCAUUAGGUCGAGGGCACGCCUGCCUGGGGGU